AGUGAACGCUGGCGGUAGGCCUAACACAUGCAAGUCGAACGGCAGCACAGGAGAGCUUGCUCUCUGGGUGGCGAGUGGCGGACGGGUGAGGAAUACAUCGGAAUCUGCCCAGUCGUGGGGGAUAACGUAGGGAAACUUACGCUAAUACCGCAUACGACCUUCGGGUGAAAGAGGGGGAUCGCAAGACCUCUCGCGAUUGGAUGAGCCGAUGUCGGAUUAGCUAGUUGGCGGGGUAAUGGCCCACCAAGGCGGCGAUCCGUAGCUGGUCUGAGAGGAUGAUCAGCCACACUGGAACUGAGACACGGUCCAGACUCCUACGGGAGGCAGCAGUGGGGAAUAUUGGACAAUGGGCGCAAGCCUGAUCCAGCCAUACCGCGUGGGUGAAGAAGGCCUUCGGGUUGUAAAGCCCUUUUGUUGGGAAAGAAAUCUUUCAGGCUAAUACCCUGGGAGGAUGACGGUACCCAAAGAAUAAGCACCGGCUAACUUCGUG
RNAcentral lists this ribosomal RNA (490 nucleotides) under uncultured bacterium. Its description in RNAcentral is "partial 16S ribosomal RNA". It matches the Rfam family "Bacterial small subunit ribosomal RNA", at positions 29 to 507 of the family's 1533-position model. The record is from RNAcentral.